This 253-nucleotide ribosomal RNA is filed under the name uncultured bacterium. RNAcentral describes it as "partial 16S ribosomal RNA". It matches the Rfam family "Bacterial small subunit ribosomal RNA", at positions 524 to 776 of the family's 1533-position model. The record is from RNAcentral.
UACGUAGGGUCCGAGCGUUGUUCGGAAUUACUGGGCGUAAAGCGUGCGCAGGCGGUGAUGUAAGACAGAUGUGAAAUCCCCGGGCUCAACCUGGGAACUGCAUUUGUGACUGCAUCGCUGGAGUGCGGCAGAGGGGGAUGGAAUUCCGCGUGUAGCAGUGAAAUGCGUAGAUAUGCGGAGGAACACCGAUGGCGAAGGCAAUCCCCUGGGCCUGCACUGACGCUCAUGCACGAAAGCGUGGGGAGCAAACAGG